AGCGAGGGACAACCCGCCUAUACAGCCAGCGGGGAGGAUGGCACUACUGGCAAAGACCGUCUGGCGAAAACGCCGCAGGCGCGAAGCGUGGUAGGCCUGCGCCGAGGGA
This 109-nucleotide unclassified non-coding RNA is filed under the name uncultured fungus. RNAcentral's name for it is "sequence contains ITS1". Lineage: Eukaryota; Fungi. The record is from RNAcentral.